AUGGUGAGUGACAAUCUUGGUAUGAUCUCCAAUGCUCAUGUUGUUCAUGCUGAUCUUAGUGAUUUUGGAGCUAUGGAUGAGAAGUGCAUUCACUUAGCUGAACUAGCAGCAACUGCUGUAGACUUCCCCAAAACAGGCAAAUUUGUGGCGAUGCCAUCGUAUCUUCGACCAAAAAUCUACCCUGACUUUCUGUUAAAGGAAGAUUCAAAAUCAUAUAAAUCCGAGAAGAUUCUUGGAAGACUUUAUCGCUCAAUCCAAGAAGAUUCCAGUGGUAAUUGGGAUUCUGACGAAGCUUGGACCCUACAUGAUCUGCCUUAUGACAAUGAUCUAGAAGUUGCCGGUGCAUCAGAUUUCCUUGCGAGUGCAUGGCAGUGCAAGUGCUCAUAUGAUAGGCAGCUGAACUCACUGCUUAAUCAAUACGGCGUUCGCACCGAAGCUGAACUUGUGACAGGGCACAUCUGGUCCCUUCCCAGGAACAACAGCAGAAAGCUAGUGGAUGUAAAGGACAGGGUCAAGAAUGCGUACAAUGCGUUCCAGAAGGAGUAUCGGUCUGUCUUUGAAAGCCUUACAUCAGAUGAGGUUGAGAUCUCCGAUGACGAUGUGAAGAAUCUGUUCUACGAAAUGAAGGCCUCUGCGUGGUACCAGGUAACGUAUCACCCCAAAUGGACUGAGAAGUCAAGGGCCUUAUUGGAUCCAGAUGAUGAAGAAGGAAUGCCGGUGAGGCUUAGCUUUGCAUGGAUCACGGUCGAUUACUUGGUGCGGAUAAUGCUAAGGUGCCAUGGAGAAAUGGAAGUUGGAGGACGAAGGCCAGCUGGAAGGCUGGCGGCCUACAUUUCUGAGAGAAUAUGA
RNAcentral lists this ribosomal RNA (849 nucleotides) under Triticum aestivum (bread wheat). Its description in RNAcentral is "partial small subunit ribosomal RNA". The record is from RNAcentral. Lineage: Eukaryota; Viridiplantae; Streptophyta; Magnoliopsida; Poales; Poaceae.